Long non-coding RNA from Sphaerodactylus townsendi, 678 nucleotides. RefSeq lists it as uncharacterized. NCBI's taxonomy places the organism in Eukaryota, Metazoa, Chordata, Lepidosauria, Squamata, Sphaerodactylidae. The transcript is spliced from 2 exons. The record is from RefSeq and is a predicted model, not a curated record.
UAUUGUGUAGUUAGGGCCAUGUACAAAUCCAAAGUUAGAAUAGCAAAGUUUUUAUUGUCUGAGGUAACCAGUGUUCGUACUUUUGUCAGCAGACGUCAGCUUUUUUCGAAGUCCUGAAGAUUGUUCAAAUGUUACCCCCGAUAAAUGUGACAAACUGAUUUUUUUUUUCAGGGCAAAGGAACCAGGGACAAGACGCUGAUCAGGAUCAUGGUUUCUCGCAGCGAAAUCGAUAUGCUGAAAAUUAAGAGCGAGUUCAAGAGAAAAUAUGGAAAGUCCCUCUAUUACUUCAUCCAGCAAGACACAAAGGGGGAUUACCAGUAGGCGCUCUUGAACCUCUGCGGAGAUGACUGAAAACUGCAAUGGAGAAGACCCGUCCUUGCCCAGAUCUGUGUUUUCUGCUUCCCUUCUCCUCCUGCCACUCUAGCCCCAUCGAUGCACUAACCUCUUCUGUCUCUGUAUUUGCAAGACUCAAUAAUGUGGGUUGCUUUUGUGUAGUCCCCUAACUCGGCCCUGUGCGGCUUUUAACUCAAGUAGCUAACCUAAGCAGCAGCAGUAACGAGGCUGGAGAAGUUAACAUUCCACAGAGAGAGAGAGCAGCGAACCUGUGCUGUGAAAUAUUCUGCUUCUGUAUAUUAUGUACCUGUCAAAAGUACAAAUAAAGUGGAAUUGUUACUUUGA